Molecule: ribosomal RNA, 876 nt
Filed under: uncultured archaeon
Lineage: Archaea
Description: bacterial SSU rRNA
Rfam family: Archaeal small subunit ribosomal RNA
Source: RNAcentral
CCUGACUGCUAUCGGAUUGAUACUAAGCCAUGCGAGUCAUUGUAGCAAUACAAGGCAGACGGCUCAGUAACACGUAGUCAAUCUACCCUAUUGACGGGGAUAACCUCGGGAAACUGAGAAUAAUACCCGAUAGGCCAUUAUGCCUGGAAUGGUUUAUGGCUGAAAUGACUUAUCGCAAUAGGAUGGGACUGCGGCCUAUCAGUUUGUUGGUGAGGUAAUGGCCCACCAAGACUAUUACAGGUACGGGCUCUGAGAGGAGAAGCCCGGAGAUGGGUACUGAGACACGGACCCAGGCCCUAUGGGGCGCAGCAGGCGAGAAAACUUUGCAAUGUGCGAAAGCACGACAAGGUUAAUCCGAGUGUUUCCUGCUAAAGGAAUCUUUUGUCAGUCCUAAAAACACUGAUGAAUAAGGGGUGGGCGAGUUCUGGUGUCAGCCGCCGCGGUAAAACCAGCACCUCAAGUGGUCAGGAGGAUUAUUGGGCCUAAAGCAUCCGUAGCCGGCCGCACAAGUCUUCGGUUAAAUUCAUAUGCUCAACAUAUGGGCUGCCGGAGAUACUGUGCAGCUAGGGAGUGGGAGAGGUGGACGGUACUCGAUAGGAAGGGGUAAAAUCCUUUGAUCUAUUGAUGACCACCUGUGGCGAAGGCGGUCCACUAGAACACGUCCGACGGUGAGGGAUGAAAGCUGGGGGAGCAAACCGGAUUAGAUACCCGGGUAGUCCCAGCUGUAAACAAUGCAAACUCAGUGAUGCAUUGGCUUGUGGCCAGUGCAGUGCCGCAGGGAAGCCGUUAAGUUUGCCGCCUGGGAAGUACGUACGCAAGUAUGAAACUUAAAGGAAUUGGCGGGGGAGCACCACCAAGGGGUGAAGCCUGCGGUUC